Molecule: ribosomal RNA, 370 nt
Filed under: Triticum aestivum (bread wheat)
Lineage: Eukaryota; Viridiplantae; Streptophyta; Magnoliopsida; Poales; Poaceae
Description: partial small subunit ribosomal RNA
Source: RNAcentral
GGACCUUAACCAUACACUCAACGGUCAUAGACUCUCUACUAUAGGUCUUUCAGUAGACUUACGUGAGAAAAAUAAAAACACAUCAUCCUUGAUUACCUACUUGGUUCGUUUUUCCCGUAAGUUCUUCUAGUAGUACGUCAAUUAGCACUACGACUAGGGAACGUACGCUAACUUCUAGUAGUGCUCCCGGUCUCUUCGUGUGGGAAAUAACCCAUGGUCGUAACUCCUUCUUUCCUCUAACGACGGUCACCGUUUACAGACAACCUGUAGUUGUCGUUAAGCUCACAAAGGUGUAUACCACUAACUUUAAGACUCUUUCUGUGAUAGCACCUUGUUGGUAGUUUUCGUUUUACAGUUUUCUGGCCUAGAU